UACGUAGGGUGCGAGCGUUGUCCGGAAUUAUUGGGCGUAAAGAGCUUGUAGGCGGUCUGUCGCGUCUGCUGUGAAAAUCCGGGGCUCAACCCCGGACUUGCAGUGGGUACGGGCAGACUAGAGUGUGGUAGGGGAGACUGGAAUUCCUGGUGUAGCGGUGAAAUGCGCAGAUAUCAGGAGGAACACCGAUGGCGAAGGCAGGUCUCUGGGCCGAAACUGACGCUGAGGAGCGAAAGCGUGGGGAGCAAACAGG
This 253-nucleotide ribosomal RNA is filed under the name uncultured bacterium. RNAcentral's name for it is "partial 16S ribosomal RNA". It matches the Rfam family "Bacterial small subunit ribosomal RNA", at positions 524 to 776 of the family's 1533-position model. The record is from RNAcentral.